CAGUAAAUAGUUUAUUAAAAUAUUAAUUUUGGAGAUUAAAGAUAAGUUUUCUUUUUACUGA
Molecule: transfer RNA, 61 nt
Filed under: Kleidocerys resedae resedae
Lineage: Eukaryota; Metazoa; Arthropoda; Insecta; Hemiptera; Lygaeidae
Description: tRNA-Pro
Source: RNAcentral